AUUGAACGCUGGCGGCAGGCCUAACACAUGCAAGUCGAGCGGAUGAAGGGUGCUUGCUCCUGGAUUCAGCGGCGGACGGGUGGGUAAUGCCUAGGAAUCUGCCUGGUAGUUGUGGAUAACGUCCGGAAACGGGGGCUAAUACCCCAUACGCCCUGAGGGAGAAAGGGGGGGAGCUUCGGACCUCACGCUAUCAGAUGAGCCUAGGUCGGAUUAGCUAGUUGGUGGGGUAAAGGCCUACCAAGGCGACGAUCCGUAACUGGUCUGAGAGGAUGAUCAGUCACACUGGAACUGAGACACGGUCCAGACUCCUACGGGAGGCAGCAGUGGGGAAUAUUGGACAAUGGGCGAAAGCCUGAUCCAGCCAUGCCGCGUGUGUGAAGAAGGUCUUCGGAUUGUAAAGCCCUUUAAGUUGGGAGGAAGAGCAGUAGGUUAAUACCUUGCUGUUUUGACGUUACCAAAAGAAUAAGCACCGGCUAACUUCGUG
RNAcentral lists this ribosomal RNA (484 nucleotides) under uncultured bacterium. Its description in RNAcentral is "partial 16S ribosomal RNA". It matches the Rfam family "Bacterial small subunit ribosomal RNA", at positions 30 to 507 of the family's 1533-position model. The record is from RNAcentral.